RNAcentral lists this ribosomal RNA (483 nucleotides) under uncultured Glomus. Its description in RNAcentral is "SSU rRNA". It matches the Rfam family "Eukaryotic small subunit ribosomal RNA", at positions 569 to 1066 of the family's 1831-position model. The record is from RNAcentral. Lineage: Eukaryota; Fungi; Glomeromycota; Glomeromycetes; Glomerales; Glomeraceae.
AGCAGCCGCGGUAAUUCCAGCUCCAAUAGCGUAUAUUAAAGUUGUUGCAGUUAAAAGCUCGUAGUUGAAUUUCGGGAUCAAUUUAUUGGUCGUGCUAUCGUACGUACUGGUAUUAUUGAUUCCUACCUUCUGACGAACCAUGAUGUCAUUAAUUUGGUGUCAUGGGGAAUCAGGACUGUUACUUUGAAAAAUUGGAGUGUUUAAAGCAGGCUCACGCUUGAAUACAUUAGCAUGGAAUAACGAAAUAGGACGUUUGAUUCUAUUUGUUGGUUUCUAGGAUCGACGUAAUGAUUAAUAGGGAUAGUUGGGGCAUUAGUAUUCAAUUGUCAGAGUGAAAUUCUGGAUUUAUUGAAGACUAACUACUGCGAAAGCAUUUUCCAAGGAUGUUUCAUUAAUCAAGAACGAAAGUUAGGGAUCGAAGACGAUCAGAUACCGUCGUAGUCUUAACCAUAAACUAUGCCGACUAGGAUCGGAUGAUGUUAA